RNAcentral lists this ribosomal RNA (253 nucleotides) under uncultured bacterium. RNAcentral's name for it is "partial 16S ribosomal RNA". It matches the Rfam family "Bacterial small subunit ribosomal RNA", at positions 524 to 776 of the family's 1533-position model. The record is from RNAcentral.
UACGUAGGGAGCAAGCGUUGUCCGGAAUCAUUGGGCGUAAAGCGCGCGUAGGUGGCUUCGUAAGUCCGUUGUGAAAGUCAAAGGCUCAACCUUUGAAUGCCGAUGGAUACUGCGGAGCUAGAGUACGGAAGAGGCGAGUGGAAUUCCUGGUGUAGCGGUGGAAUGCGCAGAUAUCAGGAGGAACACCAAUAGCGAAGGCAGCUCGCUGGGACGUUACUGACGCUGAGGAGCGAAAGCGUGGGGAGCGAACAGG